UAUUAUAGCUGUACAGUUGUUAA
Molecule: small nuclear RNA, 23 nt
Filed under: Arabidopsis thaliana (thale cress)
Lineage: Eukaryota; Viridiplantae; Streptophyta; Magnoliopsida; Brassicales; Brassicaceae
Description: snRNA_10167
Source: RNAcentral